RNAcentral lists this ribosomal RNA (359 nucleotides) under uncultured Nostoc sp. Its description in RNAcentral is "bacterial SSU rRNA". It matches the Rfam family "Bacterial small subunit ribosomal RNA", at positions 524 to 881 of the family's 1533-position model. Lineage: Bacteria; Bacillati; Cyanobacteriota; Cyanophyceae; Nostocales; Nostocaceae. The record is from RNAcentral.
UACGGAGGAUGCAAGCGUUAUCCGGAAUGAUUGGGCGUAAAGCGUCCGCAGGUGGCGAUGUAAGUCUGCUGUUAAAGAGUCUAGCUCAACUAGAUAAAAGCAGUGGAAACUACAUAGCUAGAGUACGUUCGGGGCAGAGGGAAUUCCUGGUGUAGCGGUGAAAUGCGUAGAGAUCAGGAAGAACACCAGUGGCGAAGGCGCUCUGCUAGGCCGUAACUGACACUGAGGGACGAAAGCUAGGGGAGCGAAUGGGAUUAGAUACCCCAGUAGUCCUAGCCGUAAACGAUGGAUACUAGGCGUGGCUUGUAUCGACCCGAGCCGUGCCGUAGCUAACGCGUUAAGUAUCCCGCCUGGGGAGU